AGCUUUGUGUAGUGGCAGUAUUGUAGCCAAUGACACGGAGCUGAGGCGCAAUUAUUGCUAGUUGAAAACUAGUUUCCUUUUGAAAGUACAAAAUGAUGGCACAGUAACAGCCUGUACGGCGCAGUCUGCACAGCGCACAGUUACUUUUAGCCACUAUGUCUCCAUA
This 166-nucleotide small nuclear RNA is filed under the name Alligator mississippiensis (American alligator). RNAcentral's name for it is "U4 spliceosomal RNA". The stretch from base 1 to 81 matches the Rfam family "U4 spliceosomal RNA". Lineage: Eukaryota; Metazoa; Chordata; Crocodylia; Alligatoridae. The record is from Rfam by way of RNAcentral.